Bactrocera neohumeralis is the source of this 588-nucleotide long non-coding RNA. RefSeq lists it as uncharacterized. The record is from RefSeq and is a predicted model, not a curated record. The transcript is spliced from 3 exons. Lineage: Eukaryota; Metazoa; Arthropoda; Insecta; Diptera; Tephritidae.
GUCAACACCACUGGCACAUUCAAUGAUAAGAAUUAUAACAGAAAUAUUUGAUGAAAACAACACCUACUACAGUUGUGUGUGUGGUUUUAAUUGCGAAUACUUAACGCUUGAGUGAUUGUUUUAAGCCGAUACAAAAAUUGGCGUUGUAUACUUGUAUAUGUAGAUGUCAUAAUUUAAGCAAUAUGGAAAAUGCGAAAACUUUGUCAAUUAACAUGUCAUGGGAGAAAUGCGAAAUUUAUGUUAUAAACUGUUGACACACAAUAUAAAUGUGGUGCAAUAAAGUCGAAUUGGCAUAUGUUUUAAGACAUCAAUUGCAAGAACUGGAAAAAGUGCAGUGGUAUAGUGUGUUACAUAAAAGUUCGAAUAAAUAUCCCAAUUUUGGACAAUUAUCAAUACAAGAAGUACAGGACUCUCACCUUAAUCCCGCUCAGUGACUGACAUAUGUAAAAAAUAAAAUUAAGAAUAGAAACGGAAACCAUAAUAUUCACUAGGGCUAGGUUUCAGAUGACUUCAGCAACUUGCAUUCUGUUAAAAUAAAGAUUUUCACCGACUAGACGACGAUAUUCAGGAAAUAGAAGUUUCCUGGUG